AAUGUUGCUUUGUAAUCAUUUGGCCAAUCUGAACAUCAGAUUUUAUUGCUAGAUGAUUACAUCGAUUAGUUUUAAAAUUUAUUUUUAUACUAUCAGUUUAGGUUGAAACUAUGAGGUCAUACUCAAAAGAAAUUACUAUUUGAUCAAGUGGCUGAUCGAUAUGGAGACCUAAGUGAAUAAAACCCUAGAGUCCAAACUAGAUUGGACUCUUCCUAGCCG
This 219-nucleotide long non-coding RNA is filed under the name Elaeis guineensis (African oil palm). RNAcentral describes it as "long non-coding RNA (EGUI_LNC043224)". The record is from RNAcentral. Lineage: Eukaryota; Viridiplantae; Streptophyta; Magnoliopsida; Arecales; Arecaceae.